Saccostrea echinata is the source of this 579-nucleotide long non-coding RNA. RefSeq lists it as uncharacterized. The transcript is spliced from 4 exons. The record is from RefSeq and is a predicted model, not a curated record. Lineage: Eukaryota; Metazoa; Mollusca; Bivalvia; Ostreida; Ostreidae.
UCAGCUUGUUGUGAUCCUCCUGGACAUCCAAGUGUUUUCGACAUUGAUGAAGAUUUUGUCAAUCUCUCUCUUGGACCAAACCAAGAAAUGAUGGUUUUAAGAAGAUUAUAGGAUAUGUCAUAGAAUACGAAGACCCCACCACUGGAGGCAGGCUAAUGACUACCCAGUAGAUGAGUGUGUUUAUGAGGUGAAGGGAUUAAAAAAGGACAAGGAAUACAACUUCCACAUACAGGCCAAGAAUCUUGAAGGUUUUUAAAUCAGUGAGUCUAGUGAUGUGAUUGGUCCCAUAACUCCCAAGCCCAAAUACACCAAGGUUUUGCCACCUGUUGUACCAGAGGCUGUCAACAAUUCUAUAACUUAUCUGAAAUGGGAACCACCUAAACAUAAUGGUGGCUGUAAAAUUACAGACUACCUUGUAGAAGAGAGGUUUAAGGGAACAGAGAAAUGAGUACCCCUGCACUGACCCCUCUUUACUGUCACCGAUCUUCCUCAGGACUCAGAGUGGGAGUUUAGAGUUACAGCUGAUAACUUUGCUGGAAACUGUGAGCCCAGUCUGUGCUCACCAGCAUACAAAAUCCA